UCAAAUAAAGAAAUCUAGGCA
RNAcentral lists this non-coding RNA (21 nucleotides) under Caenorhabditis elegans. The record is from RNAcentral. Lineage: Eukaryota; Metazoa; Nematoda; Chromadorea; Rhabditida; Rhabditidae.